CUACCGAAUUUAAUGGUGUGAAGAUAUGUUAAGUGGUAUUACGAGAAUGCUUUAACCUGCCAAAUUUCCUGCUCUUCUGUUUAGCCUUGAGCCGGUGAGCACUAAUGCUAAUAUCAACAAAAGAGUCCUCCAGAGAAGGUUUUUGCACACUGCACAGAGCAGGAACACAUGCCAUGCAAUCACUUCUACCUUCAUACACCUUUGGCUGUGGUGUGAAUGUCAUCCAAAGUGGGACUCUCAGUGUGCACCAUGACGCACAGAGUGGGCAGUUCAGUCCUCCACAGAUGUCAGGGACUGACUGUCUCUGUUGCUCACCACCGGCUCUGUUUGGCUCUUUGCCUGAGAUCACUCAACUCUUUGUCACGUUGGAUAAUGCCGGAACCAAGCGCAGUAUCUCACUCCAUUUUGUGACAAAGAUACCGUACUAAUUCCGUCACAGAGGGAUCCAGAUGGUGGAACUGCAGGUGGGUAUUUGUCCCUCAUGGCAGGCAUCCAGCUGGCCUGGCACCGCUUGGCAAAGGAACGCACAUCCAAAAUGCCCAACACACAGCCACACGCACCCAGCUCAUCCUCCAGGAUGAAACAGUACUCUGGGCACAACGCUAGGCAUGGUCCGAGACAUCUAUUGAAAUGAAAGACAUUACUAUUUCAAAAAUAUUUCUGUACCAGCUCGCCAGCGAAUGGAGAGGGAUGUAAUUGGCUUCAAACUCGCAGUUGGGGUUGAGUAACAG
This is a long non-coding RNA of Etheostoma spectabile (orangethroat darter), 731 nucleotides long. RefSeq lists it as uncharacterized. The transcript is spliced from 6 exons. Lineage: Eukaryota; Metazoa; Chordata; Actinopteri; Perciformes; Percidae. The record is from RefSeq and is a predicted model, not a curated record.